This 1465-nucleotide ribosomal RNA is filed under the name metagenome. Its description in RNAcentral is "bacterial SSU rRNA". It matches the Rfam family "Bacterial small subunit ribosomal RNA". The record is from RNAcentral.
AGAGUUUGAUCCUGGCUCAGAACGAACACUGGCGGCACACAUAACACAUGCAAGUCGAACGAACCAAUUUUCAAAUUUAUUUGAAAACUGGUUAGUGGCAAACGGGUGAGUAAUAUAUGGGGAUCUGCCUAUUAGUAUGGAAUACCACUUAGAAAUAAGUGUUAAUACCGUAUACGCUCCACGGAGGAAAGAUUUAUCGCUAAUAGAUGAGCCCAUAUCAGAUUAGGUAGUUGGUAAGGUAAUGGCUUACCAAGCCUUCGAUCUGUAGCUGGUCUGAGAGGACGGUCAGCCACACUGGGACUGAGAUACGGCCCAGACUCCUACGGGAGGCAGCAGUGGGGAAUUUUAGGCAAUGGGCGAAAGCCUGACCUAGUGAUGUCGCGUGAGUGAAGAAGGCCUUCGGGUUGUAAAGCUCUUUUAGCAGGGAAGAUAAUGACGUUACCUGCAGAAAAAGUCCCGGCUAACUCCGUGCCAGCAGCCGCGGUAAGACGGAGGGGACUAGUGUUGUUCGGAAUUACUGGGCGUAAAGGGCGUGUAGGUGGUAUAAUAAGUUGGAAGUAAAAUCCCAAGGCUUAACUUUGGAAUCGCUUUCAAAACUGUUAAACUAGAGUGCGGUAGGGGAUAACGGAAUUCCUAGUGUAGAGGUGAAAUUCUUAAAUAUUAGGAGGAACACCGAAGGCGAAGGCAGUUAUCUGGGCCGUUACUGACACUGAGACGCGAAAGCGUAGGUAGCAAACAGGAUUAGAUACCCUGGUAGUCUACGCCCUAAACGAUGAGUGCUAGGUAUUGGGUACUUGAUAUUCAGUAUCGCAGUUAACACGUUAAGCACUCCGCCUGGGGAUUACGGCCGCAAGGCUAAAACUCAAAGGAAUUGACGGGGACCCGCACAAGCGGUGGAGCAUGCGGUUUAAUUCGAUGCUACGCGAAAAACCUUACCAACUUUUGACAUGUUAGUUAGAGAGAUUAGAGAUAAUCUUGUCAGUUAGGCUGGACUAUCACAGGUGUUGCAUGGCUGUCGUCAGCUCGUGUCGUGAGAUGUUGGGUUAAGUCCCGCAACGAGCGCAACCCCUAUUCUUAUUUGCCAUCAGGUUAUGCUGGGAACUAUAAGAAAACUGCCGGUGAUAAACUGGAGGAAGGGAGGGAUGAUGUCAAGUCAUCAUGGCCUUUAUAAGUUGGGCUACACGCGUGCUACAAUGGUACUUACAACGGGUUGCGAAAUGGCAACAUGGAGCUAAUCCUUAAAAAGUAUCUCAGUUCGGAUUGCACUCUGCAACUCGAGUGCAUGAAGUUGAAAUCGCUAGUAAUCGCGGAUCAGCACGUCGCGGUGAAUACGUUCUCGGGUCUUGUACACACUGCCCGUCAAGCCAUGGGAAUCUACUUUACUUAAAGUUGGUGGGCUAACUAGGAAACUAGAGGCAGCCAGUUAUGGUGGGGUCGGUGACUAGGGUUAAGUCGUAACAAGGUA